UUGGCUGUUUCAGUGUAACUAUGGCACGUUUUUCAACCUCCACAGCUAUGAACUUGAAACUUAGUACAUAUAACCCCCUAUACCAGAUAACCUCUGGUGCUGAAUUUCGGUCUGAUCUGAUUCUCAACUUGGCCACCAGGGGGCCGAAUGUGGAUACCUAAAAAGUGUGAUAAUUCGCUUAUCAAUAACUUGUUUUCAAUAAAACUUUCGUGGUGGGUACUAAUAGCAAGGAUACAUCAUAUAUCGUACGGGUUUUUAAUUUGACCUACUUUUCAAGGUUGCAGAGGUCAAAUGGCAUAAAUUGGCUGUUUCAGUGUAACUAUGGCACGUUUCUCAACCGCCACAGCUAUGAACUUGAAACUUGGUACAUAUAACCCCCUAUAUCAGAUAACGUCUUGUGCUGAAUAUCGGUCCGAUCUGAUUCUCAAUUUGGCCACCAGGGGGUCGAAUGUGGAUAUCUAAAAAGUGUGAUAUCUCGCUUGAUGACUUGUUUUCGAUAAAACUUUUGUGGUAGGUACUCAUAGCAAGGAUACAUCAUAUAUCAUAUGGGUUUUUAAUUUGACCUACUUGUCAAGGUCACAGAGGUCACAACGCAGACACAGAUAUGGCCGAAAUUGCAUGUUUCGUGUUUUUCGUGUUGUGGCAAUCCAAAGGUCGUGAGUUCAAACCCCGGUCAAGGACGGCCAAAAAUAUUUUUUUUAUUUUAUUAUUUUUUUUAUCUUUUCACUUUUGUCUUUUCUGACUUGUACCUUACAUUUUCUUGAUUUUUUAUUUAUUUGGUGCCAUAUCAUUAGGUGGCUAUCUUGGAAAUCAUUUUUUGUCAUUUUGUAGCCUAUUGUUGUCACUAGAGUGAUGAAAUUGUUGGUGGAUGUGUAUACAUAUCACCCUGGUUUAUCAUUUGACCUAUCAAUCAGGGAUCACUGAGGUCAAAGUUAAAAAUUCACCAUUGUCAUCAAGUGGCACGUUCUUCACUAUUAUUUUGACCUAGACUGUACAUGCAAGCUUGGUACCGCAAGUCUCGGAUUCACCACUUGGCCAGGGCCAGUUCUGAACAGAUCACAGAUGCAUGUGUGAAUAAGGAGAGGCCUACAUGAUCAUAGGAAAAAAGGCAGUUGUCUGAUUUGUCAUACCUUACAGAAAUAUUAGAACAGCUCAUAGAUCAUUCCAAAUUUAGGCCCCACAGGCCAAAGUGGCAGCUGCAAGUACCGCACAUCAAAUUAUGCUUAUGAUUAACCCACCACAAUCGGGUGGGAAACUUGUACCAUGUGACCAUUACUUCUUGGAUUUUAUUGAAAAUUAUUUCAAAGAUGCCACUAAAUUUGUGCACGAAAGGCGCCCUAUAAGUAUAGUUGGAGACCAUACAUAAAUAUGCUGUACUACUACUAUUGUUUCAAUUCAGUUAGGAGGAAAGGAUUUCUAUGUAGGGUCUGCUGUAUUUAGGUUCUGCAUCACUGAAACUGAAAAAAAUACAUAUUUGAAAAAUAUCAGAGAAUAAUUUAUUCAGUAAAGGCGCUCCAUACAUUGACCACUUCCUGUUUCUCAUCUUGCAAGAGACUGCACAUGUGCUUGAUUUCAGGAUUUUCAAAGUGUUAUUAGUGCAUUAUUGGUUGUUGCUAUUUCUAUGAGUCAUUGAGUGUAUUGCUGAUGCAGAUCAAGCUUAUUUAGGGCUACUGCGAUUGACACACUUAAGCAAGGUUGUGUGCUAUUGACACCAAAGUGGUGGUGGGGUUGUUGGAGGUUUUGAUAAUCUAACGCAGAUUUGGCUUGCACUAGCCACGACGACCUUCCACUGCUGACAAUUGACCAAGUGUCCUUUGUACGCCUGCCCUCCGAGUGAUAUUGGCUGUGCCUGCCAUAUAACUCUGGCAUUGGUGUUUAUUGCCUCUCACCAAGGCCCUCUCACAUUGGUGAGAACAUAGUUCAAGUGUCAGCGUACACUUGAACUUAAUCGCAGGUGUCAGCGUGCACCUG
Lineus longissimus is the source of this 1971-nucleotide long non-coding RNA. RefSeq lists it as uncharacterized. Lineage: Eukaryota; Metazoa; Nemertea; Pilidiophora; Heteronemertea; Lineidae. The transcript is spliced from 4 exons. The record is from RefSeq and is a predicted model, not a curated record.